UAACCUCGUUUUGUCUACUAUUAACAUGUUAGAAGGAACUGUAUACUGUUUAUAGUAAUGCAUGUUUAUCCACGGCAUGUGAUAUAUUGUUGUUCGUAUGCAGUAUGUGAUGAUUGUGUUGAAGGGUUCAGUGCCCAUGUCAUUUGGUGGUACUGAGCAGCCGGCUGCCUAUGGUGAGCUGAUAUCCAUUGGCGGCCUAAAUCCGGAUGUGAAUAAGAAACUGAGUGCUGCAAUUUCUGCAAUUCUUGAAACCAAGCUACAAGUUCCCCCGUCACGGUUCUUCCUCAAAUUCUAUGACACCAAGGCGCAACAAACCCAAUAAUAUGCACAGUGUUUGCAUGCUUUACACCAGCACUAGAUAAUCUAAAUAGAUCUUUUCUGUUGCGUACUGUGAGCAUAGCUCUCGUUAGCUUUCUUGGUUCCAACUUUGGAUGGAAUGGAUCAACCUUCUGAGUUUGGCGAUGUCUGAAUUUCUCGAAACAUCGAUAUUGUCUUUCAGUAUGCUUUAUUUCUUUUGUGACUUGCCGUUUGAAAAAAUUCAGCAAUUUACUUUA
This is an RNA transcript of Hibiscus syriacus, 554 nucleotides long. It is a transcript of the gene named macrophage migration inhibitory factor homolog, with no coding region annotated. The transcript is spliced from 3 exons. The record is from RefSeq and is a predicted model, not a curated record. NCBI's taxonomy places the organism in Eukaryota, Viridiplantae, Streptophyta, Magnoliopsida, Malvales, Malvaceae.